GAGAGUUUGAUCCUGGCUCAGGAUGAACGCUGGCGGCGUGCUUAACACAUGCAAGUCGAGCGAUGAAGUUUCCUUCGGGAAACGGAUUAGCGGCGGACGGGUGAGUAACACGUGGGUAACCUGCCUCAUAGAGUGGAAUAGCCUUCCGAAAGGAAGAUUAAUACCGCAUAACGUUGAAAGAUGGCAUCAUCAUUCAACCAAAGGAGCAAUCCGCUAUGAGAUGGACCCGCGGCGCAUUAGCUAGUUGGUGGGGUAACGGCCUACCAAGGCGACGAUGCGUAGCCGACCUGAGAGGGUGAUCGGCCACAUUGGGACUGAGACACGGCCCAGACUCCUACGGGAGGCAGCAGUGGGGAAUAUUGNACAAUGGGGGAAACCCUGAUGUAGCAACGCCGCGUGAGUGAUGAAGGUUUUCGGAUCGUAAAGCUCUGUCUUUGGGGAAGAUAAUGACGGUACCCAAGGAGGAAGCCACGGCUAACUACGUGCCAGCAGCCGCGGUAAUACGUAGGUGGCGAGCGUUAUCCGGAUUUACUGGGCGUAAAGGGAGCGUAGGCGGAUGAUUAAGUGGGAUGUGAAAUACCCGGGCUCAACUUGGGUGCUGCAUUCCAAACUGGUUAUCUAGAGUGCAGGAGAGGAGAGUGGAAUUCCUAGUGUAGCGGUGAAAUGCGUAGAGAUUAGGAAGAACACCAGUGGCGAAGGCGACUCUCUGGACUGUAACUGACGCUGAGGCUCGAAAGCGUGGGGAGCAAACAGGAUUAGAUACCCUGGUAGUCCAACGCCGUAAACGAUGAAUACUAGGKUGUUGGGGGUUUCAAMACACUCCGUGCCGCCGCUAACGCAUUWAAGUAUUCCCGCCUGGGGAGUACGGUCGCAAGAUUAAAACUCAAAGGAAUUGACGGGGACCCGCACAAGUAGCGGAGCAUGUGGUUUAAUUCGAAGCAACGCGAAGAACCUUACCUACACUUGACAUCCCUUGCAUUACUCUUAAUCGAGGAAAUCCCUUCGGGGACAAGGUGACAGGUGGUGCAUGGUUGUCGUCAGCUCGUGUCGUGAGAUGUUGGGUUAAGUCCCGCAACGAGCGCAACCCUUGUCGUUAGUUACUACCAUUAAGUUGAGGACUCUAGCGAGACUGCCUGGGUUAACCAGGAGGAAGGUGGGGAUGACGUCAAAUCAUCAAUGCCCCUUAUGUGUAGGGCUACACACGUGCUACAAUGGCUGGUACAGAGAGAUGCAAUACCGUGAGGUGGAGCCAAACUUAAAAACCAGUCUCAGUUCGGAUUGUAGGCUGAAACUCGCCUACAUGAAGCUGGAGUUACUAGUAAUCGCGAAUCAGAAUGUCGCGGUGAAUACGUUCCCGGGUCUUGUACACACCGCCCGUCACACCAUGAGAGUUGGCAAUACCCGAAGUCCGUGAGCUAACCGCAAGGAAGCAGCGGCCGAAGGUAGGGUCAGCGAUUGGGGUGAAGUCGUAACAAGGUAGCCGUAGGAGAACCUGCGGCUGGAUCACCUC
This 1510-nucleotide ribosomal RNA is filed under the name uncultured bacterium OI1612. Its description in RNAcentral is "16S ribosomal RNA". It matches the Rfam family "Bacterial small subunit ribosomal RNA". The record is from RNAcentral.